This 481-nucleotide ribosomal RNA is filed under the name uncultured bacterium. RNAcentral describes it as "bacterial SSU rRNA". It matches the Rfam family "Bacterial small subunit ribosomal RNA", at positions 8 to 485 of the family's 1533-position model. The record is from RNAcentral.
AGAGUUUGAUCCUGGCUCAGAUUGAACGCUGGCGGCAUGCCUUACACAUGCAAGUCGAACGGCAGCGCGGGAGCAAUCCUGGCGGCGAGUGGCGAACGGGUGAGUAAUAUAUCGGAACGUGCCUUAGAGUGGGGGAUAACUAGUCGAAAGACUAGCUAAUACCGCAUACGACCUACGGGUGAAAGUGGGGGAUCGCAAGACCUCAUGCUCUUAGAGCGGCCGAUAUCUGAUUAGCUAGUUGGUGGGGUAAAAGCCUACCAAGGCGACGAUCAGUAGCUGGUCUGAGAGGACGACCAGCCACACUGGGACUGAGACACGGCCCAGACUCCUACGGGAGGCAGCAGUGGGGAAUUUUGGACAAUGGGGGCAACCCUGAUCCAGCAAUGCCGCGUGUGUGAAGAAGGCCUUCGGGUUGUAAAGCACUUUUGUUCGGAAAGAAAUCGCUCUGGCUAAUAUCCGGAGUGGAUGACGUACCGAAGAU